RNAcentral lists this transfer RNA (74 nucleotides) under Colletotrichum orbiculare MAFF 240422. Its description in RNAcentral is "tRNA-Ile (TAT) (tRNA-Ile-TAT-2-1)". It matches the Rfam family "tRNA". From Rfam's summary of the family: Transfer RNA (tRNA) molecules are approximately 80 nucleotides in length. Their secondary structure includes four short double-helical elements and three loops (D, anti-codon, and T loops). Further hydrogen bonds mediate the characteristic L-shaped molecular structure. tRNAs have two regions of fundamental functional importance: the anti-codon, which is responsible for specific mRNA codon recognition, and the 3' end, to which the tRNAs corresponding amino acid is attached (by aminoacyl-tRNA synthetases). tRNAs cope with the degeneracy of the genetic code in two manners: having more than one tRNA (with a specific anti-codon) for a particular amino acid; and 'wobble' base-pairing, i.e. permitting non-standard base-pairing at the 3rd anti-codon position. Lineage: Eukaryota; Fungi; Ascomycota; Sordariomycetes; Glomerellales; Glomerellaceae. The record is from RNAcentral.
GGACCCGUAGCAUAGCUGGUUAAUGCUUUGUGCUUAUAUCGCAAGGAUCGGGAGUUCGAUCCUCCCCGGGUCCA